UGUAAAUCUAUUUUCAUCUUGUUAUCGGUUUAAUGUGAAACCCGAAUGUUGUACGAUUUAGGCUUUGUGUAAAAAGAAAUUUUCACGGAAGUGGACGAAAAAAAUUUUGCUCUCACCGUUUGUCAAAGUGAGAACUGGUUUUCACGGUUUGUCUUUUCAUUCAAUUUUGGACCAAAUUACCCUGAGAAAACUUAAUAAUGGCACAAACCAAACCGUGCAGCAGUUCGUAUCGGUUAAGUUGAUGGCAUAAACCAAACCCUACAGCAGUUCGUUUCGGUUUAGUUUAUGCGGUUCAGUUUUGAAAAAGACAAAAAAAAAACUGAAACGAAGAAACCGAAGAAAAAGAAAAAGAGAAGAGAGUAACAGAGAGAUUCGAGAGAGAAUUAGAAAGCGAAACGAAAUUCAGUAUCCAUUGCUUCAAAAUUCGACAUAACUUCGAAUUGUUGGGUAGUUGAAUUGAGCCACUGAACUCCCACAACCGGGGAAAGUUACUGUUUCUCCCGGCGAAGCCAAGAGAAAGUUACUGUUUAUUCCGGCGAGAUAGCAACUUUAGCUAUGGCUGGGAAUAAAGCAAACGACGAAGUCCCGAGGAAGCAGCAUGGUCCAGGGAAGGAGAAGCGGGUAUUAAGAGUUUCCCCGCGGAGAAAACGCUCUGCGACAAAGGCAACGGAGGAACUGGGUUAGAAUCUCUCAUUUACCGUUUGUUGUUUUUGGGUGUAUCAGAAUUGUAAAGCUUGUUUGAUUAAAGGGUUAGAACUAGUCGGAAUUUAGCAUAUCUUUAGGAUAAAAAAUUGAGAAGUAGAAUUGGAAAUCUCUGUUUCCGCCAAAAAUAUGAUUUUGAGUUAUAAUCUGGAAAAUGUCUGUGUACGUACACUACUUCGUUUUGCUUAACAGUAUAUCACUUUUAAUUGCAGGUAGUCCAAGUGUUGCUCCAACUGAAGAUCUUACAGUUGAAGAGUUACCACCAAGACUCUUUGCUCUAGACCGGUACCCUUCCGAGACGAAGAUGAACGCGUACUCUAAACAGGAGU
Molecule: small RNA, 1031 nt
Filed under: Arabidopsis thaliana (thale cress)
Lineage: Eukaryota; Viridiplantae; Streptophyta; Magnoliopsida; Brassicales; Brassicaceae
Description: ATSL192790
Source: RNAcentral